Molecule: ribosomal RNA, 465 nt
Filed under: uncultured bacterium
Lineage: Bacteria
Description: partial 16S ribosomal RNA
Rfam family: Bacterial small subunit ribosomal RNA
Source: RNAcentral
CCUACGGGAGGCAGCAGUGGGGAAUAUUGCGCAAUGGGCGAAAGCCUGACGCAGCGACGCCGCGUGAGGGAUGAAGGUCUUCGGAUCGUAAACCUCUGUCAUCAGGGAAGAAUGGUCACUGUGCUAAUCAGUAGUGAAUUGACGGUACCUGCAAAGGAAGCACCGGCUAACUACGUGCCAGCAGCCUCGGUAAUACGUAGGGUGCGAGCGUUGUCCGGAAUUACUGGGCGUAAAGGGCUCGUAGGCGGUAUGUCAAGUCAAGUGUGAAAUCCCCGGGCUAAACGUGGGAACUGCCUUUGAAACUGGCAAACUGGAGUGUGUGAGAGGAUAGUGGAAUUCCAGGUGUAGGAGUGAAAUCCGUAGAUAUCUGGAGGAACAUCAGUGGCGAAGGCGACUAUCUGGCACAUAACUGACGCUGAGGAGCGAAAGCGUGGGUAGCAAACAGGAUUAGAUACCCCUGUAGUC